CACGAGUGAGAAGCAGUCCAGACCCUGUGAUAGAUGGAGAAAAAGUGAUAUUAAGCUGUUCAACUGAAUGCACUCUGGAUAACAAACAUACUUACAUCUGGUAUAAGAAUGGACAACAGGUAACAGAUGGAUUGACAUUAUUAAACAAGCUGUACCUGGACUCAAUCAACAGUGAGGAGCUACAAGAGUAUUCCUGUACUGUAAGAGAUACGAUGGACAAAAUAAAUGCUUAAAUACAUAAAACUGUAGGAUACUGAUUAAAACAAGGCUUGGCUUUCUGAAGGUUUGCUACUAUAAAUGUUUUAACACUCUGGGGUCGACGCAAACUCUUUAUUUUUCAAUCACUCUGCAAAGAGACUUAAAUUACUCUGCUGAUUUUUGACAUACAGAUAUGAUUUAUACAUAAUUUAAAACGUUAAAGUGUCUAUUUUUUUCUGUCCACUCCCAAUAAAAACAGAAUGUCGUGCUUUUCACAAAAUUAAGAAAAUAAACAUGAUGCGCGUUUUGUUCUCUCUCCCUCAGUGAAGUCAUUGCAGAAACGCGUCAGAAAAAUAAACUGUAACUUAACGAAUACUUGUCAUAGAAACAAAAGAUAAAUGUCUACAUAAUGCUUGGAAUGUCAGCUUUUGAAUGAUGUAAGUGAGAUCGAAAACAUAUUGUCAUUCGGUGUAAACUGUAUGAGAAGGAGGAGAGAUACCGUCUUUCUCAUGUUACCUGUUUAUCUGUAAUGAGAUGAGAUCGCCACACCCCGCGCCAUUGAAGUGAACGAGUAGAAACAUCCAUAUGCAUAACUCGUGCCUCCUGCAGUCAAUGGAUACAAAAUCCACAAUCCAGUCUCUCCACUCCUUGUUGUUUUAUCCGAGUGCACCAAACAUGACAUCUACUGUAAAUCCUUAUUUACUUGCGUAUGUGUGUCAGUAUCUCCAGACGCGAGUUUGUCUUCGAAUUUGUAAAUCAAUAUAUUGUUUUAUGUGAAUGAGUACACAGACUGAUUUUCACAUCAUUUUGAAGAAAAAACCCUAGACUACUAGAUCCUGUUUUGAAAAGUCUUGGGAAAACAUGUUUAGAAUGAGCGUUGACAAAUGUCAGUGCAUGUCAAAACUUCCCCAGGGCCCUAAAAACCCCUUAGACCCCAGAGGGUUAAUAAAGCUUUUUGGUACCUGCCUUUCUGAGAUAUUUAUCCACAUAUUAUAUUUGUAUUAAGACAUUCACAAUCGUCAGAUAAAUGUUAUCUUUUGAAUAUAUUUCUCUGUUUUAUGUUUUCACUGCAGUAUGUGGUAACACUUUCUAUGAAGUCUGUGUUUAUAAUGCAUUAUUGCAGGCAUAUUCCCU
Molecule: non-coding RNA, 1332 nt
Organism: Misgurnus anguillicaudatus (oriental weatherfish)
Lineage: Eukaryota; Metazoa; Chordata; Actinopteri; Cypriniformes; Cobitidae
Source: RefSeq, a predicted model, not a curated record